This 215-nucleotide ribosomal RNA is filed under the name uncultured bacterium. RNAcentral's name for it is "partial 16S ribosomal RNA". It matches the Rfam family "Bacterial small subunit ribosomal RNA", at positions 1278 to 1500 of the family's 1533-position model. The record is from RNAcentral.
AAGACCUGUCUCAGUUCGGAUUGGAGGCUGAAACCCGCCUCCAUGAAGUUGGAUUCGCUAGUAAUCGCGCAUCAGCCAUGGCGCGGUGAAUACGUUCCCGGGCCUUGUACACACCGCCCGUCAAGCCAUGGGAGCCGGGGGUGCCUGAAGUUCGUGACCGCAAGGAGCGACCUAGGGCAAAACUGGUGACUGGGGCUAAGUCGUAACAAGGUAUC